Molecule: ribosomal RNA, 435 nt
Filed under: uncultured Flavobacterium sp.
Lineage: Bacteria; Pseudomonadati; Bacteroidota; Flavobacteriia; Flavobacteriales; Flavobacteriaceae
Description: bacterial SSU rRNA
Rfam family: Bacterial small subunit ribosomal RNA
Source: RNAcentral
GGAAUAUUGGACAAUGGGCGCAAGCCUGAUCCAGCCAUGCCGCGUGCAGGAUGACGGUCCUAUGGAUUGUAAACUGCUUUUAUACGAGAAGAAACAACUCUACGUGUAGAGUCUUGACGGUAUCGUAAGAAUAAGGAUCGGCUAACUCCGUGCCAGCAGCCGCGGUAAUACGGAGGAUCCAAGCGUUAUCCGGAAUCAUUGGGUUUAAAGGGUCCGUAGGCGGUCAGAUAAGUCAGUGGUGAAAGCCCAUCGCUCAACGGUGGAACGGCCAUUGAUACUGUCUGACUUGAAUUAUUAGGAAGUAACUAGAAUAUGUAGUGUAGCGGUGAAAUGCUUAGAGAUUACAUGGAAUACCAAUUGCGAAGGCAGGUUACUACUAAUUGAUUGACGCUGAUGGACGAAAGCGUGGGUAGCGAACAGGAUUAGAUACCCCAG